GAUAGUUCUUAGACUUUUCUUUAAUAACUCAGCUAUCCACAGACAAGGAGGUCUGUGGAAGUGAGAUAUGGGACAAGGAUGUCCCGUAUCGAACGGUAGCGGCAGAUGUCACUGCUUAUAUGAAAAGUCUUAGAAAUAUCCUAUUGAAGC
RNAcentral lists this non-coding RNA (150 nucleotides) under uncultured Lachnospira sp. Lineage: Bacteria; Bacillati; Bacillota; Clostridia; Lachnospirales; Lachnospiraceae. The record is from RNAcentral.